Molecule: long non-coding RNA, 240 nt
Filed under: Lathyrus oleraceus (garden pea)
Lineage: Eukaryota; Viridiplantae; Streptophyta; Magnoliopsida; Fabales; Fabaceae
Description: Pisum sativum (pea) long non-coding RNA (PSAT_LNC036796)
Source: RNAcentral
UUCAUUAAGAAGGAAUACAGGAUGAUGGUGACUCUGUAACUUUUUCAGCCGCGACAGCUGGCGACUUUGCUGGGGAGUUCUUAUACUUUCCCUAAAGAGAUUUCAUCCUAACCUCCGAUUUUAGGGUUUUGUGUGCUUCCUUGUUUGCUUGCUUUUAUUUAUUUAUUUGUUUACUGCUUUUCAUUUAUUUAUUUUUCUUUUUAUGCUCCUUAUUAUUCUCUUAUCUUAUUAAACUGUCAU